AUUGAACGCUGGCGGAAUGCUUUACACAUGCAAGUCGAACGGCAGCACGGACUUCGGUCUGGUGGCGAGUGGCGAACGGGUGAGUAAUGUAUCGGAACGUGCCCAGUCGUGGGGGAUAACGUAGUGAAAAUUACGCUAAUACCACAUACGAUCUAUGGAUGAAAGCGGGGGAUCGCAAGGCCUCGCGCGAUUGGAGCGGCCGAUAUCAGAUUAGGUAGUUGGUGGGGUAAAGGCCCACCAAGCCAACGAUCUGUAGCUGGUCUGAGAGGACGACCAGCCACACUGGAACUGAGACACGGUCCAGACUCCUACGGGAGGCAGCAGUGGGGAAUUUUGGACAAUGGGCGAAAGCCUGAUCCAGCCAUUCCGCGUGCAGGAUGAAGGCCCUCGGGUUGUAAACUGCUUUUGUACAGAACGAAAAGGUUUCUACUAAUACUAGGAGCUCAUGACGGUACUGUAAGAAUAAGCACCGGCUAACUACGUGCCAGCCGCCGCAGUAA
This 500-nucleotide ribosomal RNA is filed under the name uncultured bacterium. RNAcentral describes it as "partial 16S ribosomal RNA". It matches the Rfam family "Bacterial small subunit ribosomal RNA", at positions 30 to 523 of the family's 1533-position model. The record is from RNAcentral.